AUUGAACGCUGGCGGCAGGUUUAACACAUGCAAGUCGAGCGGGGGAAGGUAGCUUGCUACCGGACCUAGCGGCGGACGGGUGAGUAAUGCUUAGGAAUCUGCCUAUUAGUGGGGGACAACAUCUCGAAAGGGAUGCUAAUACCGCAUACGUCCUACGGGAGAAAGCAGGGGAUCUUCGGACCUUGCGCUAAUAGAUGAGCCUAAGUCGGAUUAGCUAGUUGGUGGGGUGAAGGCCUACCAAGGCGACGAUCUGUAGCGGGUCUGAGAGGAUGGUCCGCCAAACUGGGACUGAGACACGGCCCAGACUCCUACUGGAGGCGGCAGUGGUGAAUAUUGGACAAUGGGGGGAACCCUGAUCCAGCCAUGCCGCGUGUGAAGAAGGCCUUAUGGUUGUAAAGCACUUUAAGCGAGGAGGAGGCUACUCUAGUUAAUACCUAGGGAUAGUGGACGUUACUCGCAGAAUAAGCACCGGCUAACUCUGUGCCAGCCGCCGCAGUAA
This 499-nucleotide ribosomal RNA is filed under the name uncultured bacterium. RNAcentral's name for it is "partial 16S ribosomal RNA". It matches the Rfam family "Bacterial small subunit ribosomal RNA", at positions 30 to 523 of the family's 1533-position model. The record is from RNAcentral.